CCUACGGGAGGCAGCAGUGAGGAAUAUUGGUCAAUGGGCGCGAGCCUGAACCAGCCAAGUCGCGUGAGGGAAGAAGGUCCUAUGGAUUGUAAACCUCUUUUGUCGGGGAGCAAAAGACGCCACGAGUGGCGGUAUGAGAGUACCCGAAGAAAAAGCAUCGGCUCACUCCGUGCCAGCAGCCGCGGUAAUAGGGAGGAUGCGAGCGUUAUACGGAGUUAGUGGGUUUAAGGGGUGCGCAGGCGGAAGAUCAAGUCAGCGGUAAAAUUGAGAGGCUCAACCUCUACGAGCCGUUGAAACUGGUUUUCUUGAGUGAGUGAGAGGUAUGCGGAAUGCGUGGUGGAGCGGUGAAAUGCAUAGAUAUCACGCAGAACUCCGAUUGCGAAGGCAGCAUACCGGCGCUCCACUGACGCUGAUGCACGAAAGUGUGGGUAUCGAACAGGAUUAGAUACCCCUGUAGUC
Molecule: ribosomal RNA, 459 nt
Filed under: uncultured bacterium
Lineage: Bacteria
Description: partial 16S ribosomal RNA
Rfam family: Bacterial small subunit ribosomal RNA
Source: RNAcentral